This 253-nucleotide ribosomal RNA is filed under the name uncultured bacterium. RNAcentral describes it as "partial 16S ribosomal RNA". It matches the Rfam family "Bacterial small subunit ribosomal RNA", at positions 524 to 776 of the family's 1533-position model. The record is from RNAcentral.
GACGAACCGUCCAAACGUUAUUCGGUAUCACUGGGCUUAAAGCGUGCGUAGGCGGCUUGGUAGGUGAGAUGUGAAAGCCCACGGCCCAACCGUGGAAUUGCGUUUCAAACCAUCAAGCUCGAGGAAGAUAGGGGUGAUGGGAACUUAUGGUGGAGCGGUGAAAUGCGUUGAUAUCAUAGGGAACACCGGUGGCGAAAGCGCAUCACUGGAUCUUUUCUGACGCUGAGGCACGAAAGCUAGGGUAGCGAACGGG